AAAUAUAGCACAUUGUAUAAUCAAGAAGAAUGAGUUCUCCAUCGCGUUCUAAGAAUGAUGAUAGCACCAGUGAUUAUUUGGGUGAAAAGAAAGAUUCAGAUGGAAAUAAGGGUUCUUCUUCUUCAAAUGGAAGAGAAAAACAGCAUCGUAGCACUGCUGAUUACAUGGUUCGUUCUGAAGAUCCUAAACUCAGAAAUGGUUCACGCUCUUCAAGCUAUGCUUCUACUGGGAAUAAUCCUUAGAGGUAAAAAAAACAUUGCCUAAAUUAUUUCAAAAUUCAAUGUUUGUAUUCAUUAAAAGAAGAAAAGUUCAAAAACAAAGGAAGUGAGUCAAGUGUUGUUGUGUAGCAUGUAGUGUUGUAUCAGUUAUGAAAAAAUAAAUUUGGUAAUUAGGUUCUAUAAAGUAGUUAUGUAGCAGAUAAAAGGAUUAUAUAUCCUAAAUUUGUUUUAAUUAUUGCAACAAUACUUUAAGGUGGUUGUAAUCUCUAUAUUUUGUACAAUCAAAAUAAAAGUUGUUCUGAUUUCAACUUUC
Molecule: long non-coding RNA, 531 nt
Filed under: Phaseolus vulgaris (common bean)
Lineage: Eukaryota; Viridiplantae; Streptophyta; Magnoliopsida; Fabales; Fabaceae
Description: long non-coding RNA (PVUL_LNC000505)
Source: RNAcentral